Molecule: long non-coding RNA, 784 nt
Organism: Bos indicus x Bos taurus (hybrid cattle)
Lineage: Eukaryota; Metazoa; Chordata; Mammalia; Artiodactyla; Bovidae
Source: Ensembl
CGGAAUACCACCAGCUGCCAGGGAGAACGAGCUUGGAGCUAGCGGCAGGGCUUAACCCGGCGAAGCUCUGAGAUGGGUUGCUGAAGGAUUCCGGGAGGCAGCUGCAACAGGGCAUCACUCACUGUCCAGGCAUAUCCGUUUCUGAGUGCAAAAGGAAGAACUUGAGCGAGCGGCAAUUGGAGUGAAAAUUGCUUUGUAGUAUCUAAAAGCAGCAUGGAUCGUGGGCAGCUGAGCUGGGCUACCCUCAAAGGACUGUUACAUUUUUAACCUUCCCUGAAGAAAUUCUAACACUUCAUAAAAAGAAAAUGUACCAUACGUAGUGAUCCUCUCAAUCUUCCAGUGGGAGAAGAUAAUAUGUGCUGGCAUUAUGGAUCCCUAAUCUUUGGAACAACAAAUCAACAGAAAUUCAUGUGAAAAUCAUUGACCACCAUAUGCUGCUCCAGCUUCCUUCAGCUCCUAAUUCUAGGAGCUUGACAACUAAAGCAAACCACAGACAGCCACAGGCACUCACUGCCAGCCCUGACAAAAAAAAUCACAAAAGUCACCUCACAGGGAUUUUAUGGCUUUGGAUUGAACCACGAAGUAUUGGAUAUAUUUCAUACAAAAGCACUAUGGAAUGCAACUCAGUACAAGCAAGUCAUUCACAGGUAGUACAUCAAUACUCAGUGGUGGUCAGAAUUUGCUACCGACUACAAUUUUGCCUCAUAGAAUAAUGAAGACCUCCAUCAGGUUCUGCAGAGCUCCUUUACUUUCCUGAAAUGUAACAAAUAACAAUUAAUUAUAU